GAUGAACGCUAGCGGCAGGCCUAACACAUGCAAGUCGAGGGGUAACAGAAGAGAGCUUGCUUUCUUGCUGACGACCGGCGCACGGGUGCGUAACGCGUAUGCAACCUACCUCUUACAGGGGAAUAGCCCUAAGAAAUUGGGAUUAAUACUCCAUAGUAUAUAUUAUUCGCAUGGAUAUUGUAUUAAAGGUAACGGUAAGAGAUGGGCAUGCGUCCCAUUAGCUAGAUGGUAAGGUAACGGCUUACCAUGGCAACGAUGGGUAGGGGGCCUGAGAGGGUGAUCCCCCACACUGGUACUGAGACACGGACCAGACUCCUACGGGAGGCAGCAGUGAGGAAUAUUGGUCAAUGGAGGCAACUCUGAACCAGCCAUGCCGCGUGCAGGAAGAAUGUCCUAUGGAUUGUAAACUGCUUUUAUUUGUGAAUAAACCUAGGUACGUGUACCAAGCUGAAUGUAGCAAAUGAAUAAGCACCGGCUAACUCCG
RNAcentral lists this ribosomal RNA (484 nucleotides) under uncultured Fluviicola sp. Its description in RNAcentral is "bacterial SSU rRNA". It matches the Rfam family "Bacterial small subunit ribosomal RNA", at positions 28 to 505 of the family's 1533-position model. The record is from RNAcentral. Lineage: Bacteria; Pseudomonadati; Bacteroidota; Flavobacteriia; Flavobacteriales; Crocinitomicaceae.